Long non-coding RNA from Carassius auratus (goldfish), 392 nucleotides. RefSeq lists it as uncharacterized. The record is from RefSeq and is a predicted model, not a curated record. Lineage: Eukaryota; Metazoa; Chordata; Actinopteri; Cypriniformes; Cyprinidae. The transcript has 3 exons.
AAAUUUUCCCGCCUGGUCUUAUUGUUGCCUCAGGUCAGACGUCGCCUAUUUUUUCUGCCUGACAGUGUAAAUUAAUCUCUCCGAGUUGCCUCAGGCGGCGCCCAGUUAACGUUGGUCCGUCAUUGUUAUCACUCCGGUGGCAGCAAGUUAGUCAUUUCAGUUUUCCUGCUUCGUCUUCGAGUUGCAUGAGAAGGGUCAGACGAGCGCGAGGUUUUUUUUUCUCGACAGUGCAAUCGCUCCGGCAGGUAAUGUUCUAUACAGGCUAUGAGAAUAAUUAACAAUAAGGUCUGAAUGGUAUCAUGUCUUAGGUAAGCACUGUUUUAUAUAUAUUAAGUAAAUGGAUUUAAUUAUUGUUAAGGAUAUAGAGUUUUCUUUAUUUGUUUAUAAUAUGU